Long non-coding RNA from Glycine soja, 592 nucleotides. RefSeq lists it as uncharacterized. The transcript has 2 exons. Lineage: Eukaryota; Viridiplantae; Streptophyta; Magnoliopsida; Fabales; Fabaceae. The record is from RefSeq and is a predicted model, not a curated record.
UUGAGGUUCCUUUGUCUUAUCAUAGACAAUGGUCCCCAAAUUAUCCAAAUUAUGUGUUAUUCGACUACGAAGGAGACAAACAUUUUAUAAAGCUUCAUAAAUAUGGUAACCGUUUCUAUUUUGGUGAUAGACUCAAGGAACUUAGGAGAACCCAUGGCAUUCACGAAAGUGUUCUCAUGCGAUUUGUUGGAAGGGACAAAAAAUACUACUUUCAGUGUGGACGUUGUGGGACCUCUACACCAAAGGGCAGCCCCAACCAUAAGGCACCAUGUUUUUACCAUUGAUGUCUCUGAAGAUAUGAUACAUCAAAAUUAUCAAUUGGUGACUGUCAUUUGAAGGCUGGAGAUGAGGUCAUCUUUUUCUACAACAUUGACCAACAUUUAUGGGAGGUCCUCUAUAGGAAGCAAGUUACAUGGGAUGACACAGAGGAUGAAGCUGACUCACCUUGAAGAAAUAUUUAAUUACUUAUCUUUGUUUUAUUUUGAUAUAUUAUGUUGUAAUUUAAUUACCCUCGGGUAAUGAACAAUUUUUUUUUUUUACUUUUGUUUGUUUAAACAUUGCUAUCAACAAUACAAUUAUUAUUAUGUUUUAU